This 460-nucleotide ribosomal RNA is filed under the name uncultured bacterium. RNAcentral describes it as "partial 16S ribosomal RNA". It matches the Rfam family "Bacterial small subunit ribosomal RNA", at positions 338 to 795 of the family's 1533-position model. The record is from RNAcentral.
CCUACGGGAGGCUGCAGUGAGGAAUAUUGGUCAAUGGUCGCGAGCCUGAACCAGCCAAGUAGCGUGAAGGAUGACUGCCCUACGUGUUGUAAACUUCUUUUAUCAAGGAAUAAAGUCAGGCACGUGUGCCUUUUUGUGUGUACCUUAUGAAUAAGGAUCGGCUAACUCCGUGCCAGCAGCCGCGGUAAUACGGAGGAUUCGAGCGUUAUCCGGAUUUAUUGGGUUUAAAGGGAGCGUAGAUGGGUUGUUAAGUCAGUUGUGAAAGUUUGCGGCUCAACCGUAAAAUUGCAGUUGAUACUGGCAGUCUUGAGUACAGUAGAGGUAGGCGGAAUGCGUGGUGUAGCGGGGAAAUGCUUAGAUAUCACGAAGAACUCCGAUUGCGAAGGCAGCUUACUAAACUGCCACUGACAUUGAUGCUCGAAAGUGUGGGUAUCAAACAGGAGUAGAUACCCCUGUAGUC